GGGGAAUAUUGGGCAAUGGGCGAAAGCCUGACCCAGCAACGCCGCGUGAAGGAAGAAGGCUCUCGGGUUGUAAACUUCUUUUAAGAGGGACGAAAGAAAUGACGGUACCUCUUGAAUAAGCCACGGCUAACUACGUGCCAGCAGCCGCGGUAAUACGUAGGUGGCAAGCGUUAUCCGGAUUUACUGGGUGUAAAGGGCGCGUAGGCGGGACUGCAAGUCAGAUGUGAAAAUUAUGGGCUCAACCCAUAACCUGCAUUUGAAACUGUGGUUCUUGAGUGAUGGAGAGGCAGGCGGAAUUCCGUGUGUAGCGGUGAAAUGCGUAGAUAUACGGAGGAACACCAGUGGCGAAGGCGGCCUGCUGGACAUUAACUGACGCUGAUGCGCGAAAGCGUGGGGAGCAAAC
Molecule: ribosomal RNA, 403 nt
Filed under: uncultured bacterium
Lineage: Bacteria
Description: bacterial SSU rRNA
Rfam family: Bacterial small subunit ribosomal RNA
Source: RNAcentral